UGAAUACCAGAUGCUACGGCGUCGAAGCAGUCUAUGUCAUACUUCCAAGAAAAGCUUGCACUGUCAUAAACAAAUAAUGCCUGUACCAUAACCGACACAGGUGGGUAGGUAGAGUAUACUAAGGGGCGCGAGACAACUCUCUCUAAGGAACUCGGCAAAAUGACUCCGUAACUUCGGGAGAAGGAGUGCCUUCUUUAGAAGGUUGCAAUAACAAGAUCCAAGCAACUGUUUACCAAAAACACAGGUCUCCGCUAAGUCGUAAGACGAUGUAUGGGGGCUGACGCCUGCCCAGUGCCAGAAGGUUAAAGAAGUUGGUUAGCAUUCGCGAAGCUGAUAACUGAAGCCCUGGUGAACGGCGGCCGUAACAAUAACGGUCCUAAGGUAGCGAAAUUCCUUGUCGGGUAAGUUCCGACCCGCACGAAAGGCGUAAUGAUUUGGAUACUGUCUCGGAGAGGGACUCGGUGAAAUAGACUUGUCUGUGAAGAUGCGGACUACCUGCACCUGGACAGAAAGACCCUAUGAAGCUUUACUGUAACUUGAAAUUGAAAUUGGACUUUAUUUGCGCAGUAUAGGUGGGAGGCUUUGAGAAUAAUCUUGCGGGAUUAUUGGAGCUAUCAGUGAGAUACCACUCUUGUAAUGUUAGAUUCCUAACUUUGGAUCAUUAUCUGGUCAAAGAACAGUUUCAGGCGGGCAGUUUGACUGGGGCGGUCGCCUCCCAAACGGUAACGGAGGCGCACAAAGGUUUCCUCUGAACGGGUAGAAAUCGUAUCUAGAGUGUAAAGGCAUAAGGAAGCUUGACUGUGAGACCUACAAGUCGAGCAGGGACGAAAGUCGGUCUUAGUGAUCUGACGGUGCUGAGUGGAAAGGCCGUCACUCAACGGAUAAAAGUUACUCUAAGGAUAACAGGCUGAUCUCCCCCAAGAGUUCACAUCGACGGGGAGGUUUGGCACCUCGAUGUCGGCUCAUCGCAUCCUGGGGCGGUAGUACGUCCCAAGGGUUGGGCUGUUCGCCCAUGAAAGCGGUACGCGAGCUGGGUUCAGAACGUCGUGAGACAGUUCGGUCCAUAUCCGGUGUAGGCGUUAGAAUAUUGAGAGGAGCCUUCUCUAGUACGAGAGGACCGAGAAGGACAUACCUCUGGUGUACCAGUUAUCGUGCCAACGGUAAACGCUGGGUAGCUAUGUAUGGAGUGGAUAACCGCUGAAAGCAUCUAAGUGGGAAGCCCACCUCAAGAUAAGUAUUCUCAUCACGUAAGUGAAUAAGGUCACGGUAAGACUAACCGUUUGAUAGGCAUUAAGUAUAAAUCUAGUAAUAGGUGAGCUGAGAUGUACUAACAGACCGAAGACUUGAA
This 1348-nucleotide ribosomal RNA is filed under the name metagenome. RNAcentral's name for it is "bacterial LSU rRNA". It matches the Rfam family "Bacterial large subunit ribosomal RNA", at positions 1564 to 2925 of the family's 2925-position model. The record is from RNAcentral.